This 490-nucleotide ribosomal RNA is filed under the name uncultured bacterium. RNAcentral describes it as "partial 16S ribosomal RNA". It matches the Rfam family "Bacterial small subunit ribosomal RNA", at positions 30 to 507 of the family's 1533-position model. The record is from RNAcentral.
AUUGAACGCUGGCGGCAGGCCUAACACAUGCAAGUCGAACGGUAACAGGAAGCAGCUUGCUGCUAUGCUGACGAGUGGCGGACGGGUGAGUAAUGUCUGGGAAACUGCCUGAUGGAGGGGGAUAACUACUGGAAACGGUAGCUAAUACCGCAUAACGUCGCAAGACCAAAGAGGGGGACCUUCGGGCCUCUUGCCAUCGGAUGUGCCCAGAUGGGAUUAGCUAGUAGGUGGGGUAACGGCUCACCUAGGCGACGAUCCCUAGCUGGUCUGAGAGGAUGACCAGCCACACUGGAACUGAGACACGGUCCAGACUCCUACGGGAGGCAGCAGUGGGGAAUAUUGCACAAUGGGCGCAAGCCUGAUGCAGCCAUGCCGCGUGUAUGAAGAAGGCCUUCGGGUUGUAAAGUACUUUCAGCGGGGAGGAAGGGAGUAAAGUUAAUACCUUUGCUCAUUGACGUUACCCGCAGAAGAAGCACCGGCUAACUCCGUG